UCGCCUGUUUAUCAAAAACAUUUCUUUUUAAUAAAACAAAAGGUAGUCCCUGCUCAAUGAAUGUUAAAUGGCCGCGAUGUUAAAAGUUGUGCAAAGGUAGCAUAAUAAUUUUCUUUUUAAAUGGAAGGUAGGAUGAAAGGGUUUACUAGAUAUCUGCUGUGUUAGUGUGGGCUUAAAAUUUUAUUUAAAGGUUAAAAAUCCUUUAUGAAUUAAAGGGACGACAAGACCCUGGGAGCUUUGAAAUAUGAUUUUAAAUCAAAUUUAUUUAACUGGGGCGGUUUAUAAUAUAAACAUUAAAUUUAAGAAACAGAUGUAUGGAUUUAAUGAUCAUGGUUUGAGCAGAGAGAGUUAAGCUACCCCAGGGAUAACAGCGUAAUUGUUUCAGAGAGUUUAAUCUAAGAUUCAGUUUGCGACCUCGAUGUUGAAUUAAGGAGGUCCUCUUGAAGGAGAAAGCCUGGAGGGAGAGUUUGUUCAACUUUUAAAAACUUACGUGAUCUGAGUUCAGACCGGA
This 511-nucleotide ribosomal RNA is filed under the name Cymothoidae sp. CMJ-2007-4. RNAcentral describes it as "partial 16S ribosomal RNA". It matches the Rfam family "Bacterial large subunit ribosomal RNA", at positions 1796 to 2620 of the family's 2925-position model. The record is from RNAcentral. Lineage: Eukaryota; Metazoa; Arthropoda; Malacostraca; Isopoda; Cymothoidae.